UGCAGUAUAACUAAGUGGUAAGGCAUUGGUUUUUUGUACCAGCACAAAGGUUCAAAUCCUUUUACUCCAA
Molecule: transfer RNA, 70 nt
Filed under: Solanum lycopersicum (tomato)
Lineage: Eukaryota; Viridiplantae; Streptophyta; Magnoliopsida; Solanales; Solanaceae
Rfam family: tRNA
About the family: Transfer RNA (tRNA) molecules are approximately 80 nucleotides in length.
Source: Rfam by way of RNAcentral